AACACAAGUGUCCAUCAACAGACAAAUGGAUAAAGAAGAUGUGGUACAUGUACAUACAGUAGAAUACUAUUCAGCCAUUAAAAAUUUAAAAAGAAUGAAAUUUUGCUCUUUUGCAACAACAUGGGUGGAAUUGGAGGGUAUUAUGCAUAGUGAAAUAAAUCAUACAGAGAAAGAUAAAUACUGUUUGAUAUAUAAAUGACAAAGCUUGCAGUAGUGAGAAGGGUCCUGGGCCAGUCCUUAAUCCAGCCAGCUGGCUGAGACACCUCCAUUCAGAUGUUCUCACCAUUCUCUCAAAUUCAAUACAUUCAGAGCUUAAGUUCAUAAUUUUUCUCAAUUUACCUCCUGUCUGUGGAACCACCGUUCUCAUUGUCCAAGCUCCCGAUCUUUUACUGCCUAAAGCUAAUGUACUGCUGGAGCCUCUAACAUUCCUAUACACCUCUCUUGUCCUUUAUCACUGCCCUGGUAUCAGCCACCACUCAAUUAGUGUUGCUCAACUGGCUGACUCAGCCUGCACUCUCCAGCUAGUUUAUGAUUUCAAAUGCACCGUUUCAUCACACCACUCUCCUAAUGGAAAACCCUGACACUUCAUAAGGCAUUGCAUCCAGUCUUCUUCCUACCUCCUUAACUUUUGGGCUCUCCAUGAUUAGGCCCCAUCCACUCUCUUCUCUCUCCACCUACCCAUUCUCCCACCUGCCCCCCAUUAUUCCUAACAGUCCCCUUUCUUUCAGCUGGGCAGCUUAGACCCAUGUGUCAUGGUUCCACACCUCCUCUCUAGACCCAAACAACACCAUGCAUAAGAAAGCACUUUGUAAAUUGUCUGUGGCCCACAAAAGCUGCUGUUGUGCAUUCUGCAAAGCCUAGUUACAGCUGCCUCUUUAAACCUUCCCAGACCUGUCUUUCUCAUGGUACCACAACUUAGCCCUUGAUUUAUAGUGUUCUAAGGUGAGAAUACACAUGUCUCCUGGCCCAUCAAUUCUAACAGAGCAUUUAAUCUAUUUUAUCUCAAUUUCUGGUUUGGAUACUAAAUUGGCACUUAAUUCAUAAGGCUGUGUUGAAUAUGGUUGUUCCAUAUCCAGUCACAUGUACAUCAUCCCUAAUUAUGAUGCAUCCUUUUAGAGAUCGUUGUACAGACAGACAAUAUAGGAAAAUCAAUAAGGUAUUAUAUAAAUCAGGCUUCAUGAAGGUUAUACCAGCUGUGUUAAAUGCAUUGGUUAGUUUUCUUUUUCUUGUUGCUGGUGUUUAAUAAAGCUUGUCUUUAAACCAACUGAUCCUUGCACUUUUUUUUGCCAGCAGGUGUGACUAAGGAUUACAUUUCACUGAGGAUGAAGGUCAGUGUUAUUGGCUUAUCCAGAUGUUCUCCUUCUUUUUGAGUCAAUUUUAGUAAUAUUUCCAAAUAUAUGCCUUUCCAUGGUUGGUAUCAUAACCACACCUUACAGGUAGAAGAUUGAGGCUUAAAAACAGCACUGUAGGGCUUCCCUGGUGGUGCAGUGGUUGAGAGUCCGCCUGCCGAUGCAGGGGACACGGGUUCGUGCCCUGGUCCGGGAAGAUCCCACAUGCUGUGGAGCGGCUGGGCCCGUGAACCAUGGCUGCUGAGCCUGCGCGUCCGGAGCCUGUGCUCCGUAAUGGGAGAGGCCACAACAGUGAGAGGCCUGCGUACUGC
Phocoena sinus (vaquita) is the source of this 1660-nucleotide long non-coding RNA. NCBI's taxonomy places the organism in Eukaryota, Metazoa, Chordata, Mammalia, Artiodactyla, Phocoenidae. The record is from Ensembl.